Molecule: ribosomal RNA, 403 nt
Filed under: Verrucomicrobiota bacterium
Lineage: Bacteria; Pseudomonadati; Verrucomicrobiota
Description: Verrucomicrobia bacterium partial 16S ribosomal RNA
Rfam family: Bacterial small subunit ribosomal RNA
Source: RNAcentral
UGGGGAAUAUUGCACAAUGGGCGCAAGCCUGAUGCAGCAACGCCGCGUGAACGAUGAAGGUCUUCGGAUCGUAAAGUUCUGUUGCAGGGGAAGAUAAUGACGGUACCCUGUGAGGAAGCCCCGGCUAACUACGUGCCAGCAGCCGCGGUAAUACGUAGGGGGCUAGCGUUAUCCGGAUUUACUGGGCGUAAAGGGUGCGUAGGUGGUCUUUCAAGUCGGUGGUUAAAGGCUACGGCUCAACCGUAGUUAGCCUCCGAAACUGGAAGACUUGAGUGCAGGAGAGGAAAGUGGAAUUCCCAGUGUAGCGGUGAAAUGCGUAGAUAUUGGGAGGAACACCAGUAGCGAAGGCGGCUUUCUGGAAUGCAACUGACACUGAGGCACGAAAGCGUGGGUAGCAAACAGG